Molecule: ribosomal RNA, 497 nt
Filed under: uncultured bacterium
Lineage: Bacteria
Description: partial 16S ribosomal RNA
Rfam family: Bacterial small subunit ribosomal RNA
Source: RNAcentral
GACGAACGCUGGCGGCGUGCCUAAUACAUGCAAGUAGAACGCUGAAGGAAGGAGCUUGCUCUUUCUGGAUGAGUUGCGAACGGGUGAGUAACGCGUAGGUAACCUGCCUGGUAGCGGGGGAUAACUAUUGGAAACGAUAGCUAAUACCGCAUAAAAUUGAUUAUUGCAUGAUAGUCAAUUAAAAGGUGCAACUGCACCACUACCAGAUGGACCUGCGUUGUAUUAGCUAGUUGGUGGGGUAACGGCUCACCAAGGCGACGAUACAUAGCCGACCUGAGAGGGUGGUCGGCCACACUGGGACUGGGACACGGCCCAGACUCCUACGGGAGGCAGCAGUAGGGAAUCUUCGGCAAUGGACGGAAGUCUGACCGAGCAACGCCGCGUGAGUGAAGAAGGUUUUCGGAUCGUAAAGCUCUGUUGUAAGAGAAGAACGAGUGUGAGAGUGGAAAGUUCACACUGUGACGGUAUCUUACCAGAAAGAGACGGCUAACUACGUG